GAUCAUGGCUCAGAUUGAACGCUGGCGGCAGGCCUAACACAUGCAAGUCGAACGGUAACAGGAAACAGCUUGCUGUUUCGCUGACGAGUGGCGGACGGGUGAGUAAUGUCUGGGAAACUGCCUGAUGGAGGGGGAUAACUACUGGAAACGGUAGCUAAUACCGCAUAAUGUCGCAAGACCAAAGGGGGGGGACCUUCGGGCCUCUUGCCAUCGGAUGUGCCCAGAUGGGAUUAGCUAGUAGGUGGGG
Molecule: ribosomal RNA, 247 nt
Filed under: uncultured bacterium
Lineage: Bacteria
Description: partial 16S ribosomal RNA
Rfam family: Bacterial small subunit ribosomal RNA
Source: RNAcentral